ACGAACGCUGGCGGCGUGCUUAACACAUGCCAGUCGAACGGAAAGGCCCUGCUUUUGUGGGGUGCUCGAGUGGCGAACGGGUGAGUAACACGUGAGUAACCUGCCCUUGACUUUGGGAUAACUUCAGGAAACUGGGGCUAAUACCGGAUAGGAGCUCCUGCUGCAUGGCGGGGGUUGGAAAGUUUCGGCGGUUGGGGAUGGACUCGCGGCUUAUCAGCUUGUUGGUGGGGUAGUGGCUUACCAAGGCUUUGACGGGUAGCCGGCCUGAGAGGGUGACCGGCCACAUUGGGACUGAGAUACGGCCCAGACUCCUACGGGAGGCAGCAGUGGGGAAUAUUGCACAAUGGGCGGAAGCCUGAUGCAGCAACGCCGCGUGCGGGAUGACGGCCUUCGGGUUGUAAACCGCUUUCGCCUGUGACGAAGCGUGAGUGACGGUAAUGGGUAAAGAAGCACCGGCUAACUACGUG
This 467-nucleotide ribosomal RNA is filed under the name uncultured bacterium. RNAcentral describes it as "partial 16S ribosomal RNA". It matches the Rfam family "Bacterial small subunit ribosomal RNA", at positions 29 to 507 of the family's 1533-position model. The record is from RNAcentral.